GCGACCCCAGGACGGGCGAGGCCACCCGCCGAGUUUAAGCAUAUCAAUAAGCGGAGGAGAAGAAA
Molecule: ribosomal RNA, 65 nt
Filed under: Maxillaria farinosa
Lineage: Eukaryota; Viridiplantae; Streptophyta; Magnoliopsida; Asparagales; Orchidaceae
Description: partial 26S ribosomal RNA
Source: RNAcentral